CAACGAAUAUUCCGCAAUGGGCGAAAGCCUGACGGAGCGACGCCGCGUGAGGGAUGAAGUCCCUUCGGGAUGUAAACUUCAAUAGUACGCCAGGAACCAAUCCUGGCUAAUAAUCAGGAAAGUUGACCAGCGUACGAAAGAGGCGGCUAACUCCGUGCCAGCAGCCGCGGUAAUACGGAGGCCUCGAGCGUUGUUCGGAAUCACUGGGCUUAAAGCGCGUGUAGGCGGAACGGUAAGUACCUUGUGAAAUCCCCGGCUUCAAUCCGGGAACUGCUUGGUAUACUGCUGUUCUUGAGGCAGGUAGGGGUCACUGGAACCUUAGGUGGAGCGGUGAAAUGCGUAGAUAUCUAAGGGAACGCCUGUGGCGAAAGCGGGUGACUGGGCCUGUCCUGACGCUGAGACGCGAAAGCGUAGGGAGCAAACG
RNAcentral lists this ribosomal RNA (424 nucleotides) under uncultured prokaryote. Its description in RNAcentral is "bacterial SSU rRNA". It matches the Rfam family "Bacterial small subunit ribosomal RNA", at positions 355 to 774 of the family's 1533-position model. The record is from RNAcentral.